GCUGGACAUGGUAGCUAUGUAGUCCCAGCUACUUGGGAGGCUGAAGCAGGAGGAUGGCUUGAGCCCAGGAGUACUAAGCUGUCAUGUGCUAUGCCUAUCAGUUGUCUACACUACGUUCGGCGUCAGUAUGGUAACUCCCAGCAGUAGGGACCACUAAGUUGGCUAAAGAGAAAUGAACGGCCCAAGUUGAAAGUGGAGCAGGUCAAAACUCCCGUGCUGAUCAAUAGUGAGAUCACAGCUGUGAAUAGCCACUACACUCCAGCCUGGCCAACAUAGUGAGAACCUGCCUCU
RNAcentral lists this signal recognition particle RNA (291 nucleotides) under Aotus nancymaae (Ma's night monkey). RNAcentral's name for it is "Metazoan signal recognition particle RNA (ENSANAG00000004029.1)". It matches the Rfam family "Metazoan signal recognition particle RNA". From Rfam's summary of the family: The signal recognition particle (SRP) is a universally conserved ribonucleoprotein. It is involved in the co-translational targeting of proteins to membranes. Lineage: Eukaryota; Metazoa; Chordata; Mammalia; Primates; Aotidae. The record is from RNAcentral.